UACAGGGGGGGCAAGCGUUGUUCGGAAUUACUGGGCGUAAAGGGCUCGUAGGCGGCCAACUAAGUCCGACGUGAAAUCCCCAAGCUUAACUUGGGAACUGCGUCGGAUACUGGAUGGCUUGAAUUCGGGAGAGGGAUGCAGAAUUCCAGGUGUAGCGGUGAAAUGCGUAGAUAUCAGGAGGAACACCGGUGGCGAAGGCGGGUCUCUGGGCCGAUACUGACGCUGAGGAGCGAAAGCGUGGGGAGCGAACAGG
This 253-nucleotide ribosomal RNA is filed under the name uncultured bacterium. Its description in RNAcentral is "partial 16S ribosomal RNA". It matches the Rfam family "Bacterial small subunit ribosomal RNA", at positions 524 to 776 of the family's 1533-position model. The record is from RNAcentral.